UACGGAGGAUGCGAGCGUUAUCCGGAUUUAUUGGGUUUAAAGGGUGCGUAGGCGGGAUGCCAAGUCAGCGGUAAAAAUGCAGUGCUCAACGCCGUCGAGCCGUUGAAACUGGCGUUCUUGAGUGGGCGAGAAGUAUGCGGAAUGCGUGGUGUAGCGGUGAAAUGCAUAGAUAUCACGCAGAACUCCGAUUGCGAAGGCAGCAUACCGGCGCCCUACUGACGCUGAGGCACGAAAGCGUGGGUAUCGAACAGG
RNAcentral lists this ribosomal RNA (252 nucleotides) under uncultured bacterium. RNAcentral's name for it is "partial 16S ribosomal RNA". It matches the Rfam family "Bacterial small subunit ribosomal RNA", at positions 524 to 776 of the family's 1533-position model. The record is from RNAcentral.